RNAcentral lists this ribosomal RNA (305 nucleotides) under uncultured bacterium. RNAcentral's name for it is "bacterial SSU rRNA". It matches the Rfam family "Bacterial small subunit ribosomal RNA", at positions 490 to 793 of the family's 1533-position model. The record is from RNAcentral.
GUCACGGCUAACUACGUGCCAGCAGCCGCGGUAAUACGUAGGUGGCAAGCGUUAUCCGGAUUUAUUGGGCGUAAAGAGAGUGCAGGCGGUUUUCUAAGUCUGAUGUGAAAGCCUUCGGCUUAACCGGAGAAGUGCAUCGGAAACUGGAUAACUUGAGUGCAGAAGAGGGUAGUGGAACUCCAUGUGUAGCGGUGGAAUGCGUAGAUAUAUGGAAGGAACACCAGUGGCGAAGGCGGCUACCUGGUCUGCAACUGACGCUGAGACUCGAAAGCAUGGGUAGCGAACAGGAUUAGAUACCCUGGUAG